CCGGUGUCCUCAUAAAAGAGGAAGAGACACUGGAGAUCUCUCUCUCUGCCAUGUGAGGGCAGAGUAAGAACACAGCCAUCUGUAAGCAGGAAAAAACCUUCUCACAAGAGCCUGACCAUGCUGGCAUCCUGAUCUCAGACUUCCAGCCUUCAGAUGACCUCAAUCUCUCUACCAAGACCUUGAUCUCUGAUGUGGAACUUUGUCAAAUGCUGUCUGAAAUGUAGGAGCACACUCUUCACCGCAUGAGGACAAAGCCGGAGUCUUCCUUUAAAGGCAGGAGGUUGCUGAAUGAAUAAACAUUGGCAUUUCA
Equus caballus (horse) is the source of this 310-nucleotide non-coding RNA. Lineage: Eukaryota; Metazoa; Chordata; Mammalia; Perissodactyla; Equidae. The record is from RefSeq and is a predicted model, not a curated record.